Molecule: unclassified non-coding RNA, 364 nt
Filed under: Acacia podalyriifolia
Lineage: Eukaryota; Viridiplantae; Streptophyta; Magnoliopsida; Fabales; Fabaceae
Description: partial external transcribed spacer
Source: RNAcentral
GUGCCCGUCCACCGAACGGUCGGCAGGCGAUCCGCGUCGGUCGCGCUGGGUGGUAUGGUUCCCCAGAGGCCGGUUCUUGUGCUGCCUACCCCUUCAGGGGAAGAGUUCCAAACUCGAUGUAAGCCUCCAUCCGGCGCCCUCCAAAGGGCGCGGGAGGACAACGGAGCACCCCCCGCGUUCCACCGAGCCUCCUCGGUCGCGUGGCCCGCGGGGACGUGCGAUGCUCUCGGACCCAGCGAACGCCGUGGGCGAGGACUCACGUCCCGGUCCCAAGUGAAGCAACGGUAUAACGCACGACGGCCGCUCCCGCCCCCCGACCGCCCCGGCGGCGCGGGGCGAAGGCGCGGCGUCGCUGAGGAAUGCU